RNAcentral lists this ribosomal RNA (388 nucleotides) under uncultured bacterium. RNAcentral describes it as "bacterial SSU rRNA". It matches the Rfam family "Bacterial small subunit ribosomal RNA", at positions 28 to 417 of the family's 1533-position model. The record is from RNAcentral.
GACGAACGCUGGCGGCGUGCUUAACACAUGCAAGUCGAGCGGUAAGGCCCUUCGGGGGUACGACGAGCGGCGAACGGGUGAGUAACACGUGGGUGACCUGCCCUCAGCUCUGGGAUAAGCCUGGGAAACUGGGUCUAAUACCGGAUAUGACCCCAUGACGCAUGUCGUGGGGUGGAAAGCCUUGUGCGGCUGAGGAUGGGCCCGCGGCCUAUCAGCUUGUUGGUGGGGUGAUGGCCUACCAAGGCGACGACGGGUAGCCGGCCUGAGGGGGCGACCGGCCACACUGGGACUGAGACACGGCCCAGACUCCUACGGGAGGCAGCAGUGGGGAAUCUUGCGCAAUGGGCGAAAGCCUGACGCAGCGACGCCGCGUGAGGGAUGACGGCCU